This is a long non-coding RNA of Rattus norvegicus (Norway rat), 1639 nucleotides long. RefSeq lists it as uncharacterized. Lineage: Eukaryota; Metazoa; Chordata; Mammalia; Rodentia; Muridae. The record is from RefSeq and is a predicted model, not a curated record.
UCUAAGGAUUCCGAUUCAACCCACAGUCCCAGCCCAGAGUUCAGCAAUGCUACCUGGGGACUUGGUAGUGAUGUGUUCCCCUCUGGGAGUCACUGUUUUCUCCUCCAAGCAUGCCGGCUUGAAAAUGGAAGGUCAGCACCAGAACCUACAGAGGAUCUGAAGACGGUCAAGUUCCCAAAUGCCCCUGCCCUCAGGGGCUGUGGUGCUCAUUCUGGGUAGUCCAGUGUGGAGAAAGACCAGCUGUUUUGUUGUGUAAACAUCUCCAGUGAUUCAUCUGGGAUGGGAAGGAAGAUCGCUUUCAACUGAGAAACUGCGGUGGAUACUGUGGGCCUAUUGAAAAUAAAAGGAACCCUCCACCCUCCGAGAGACCCGGCAAGCAUCUGAAAGAGUCAGAAGCAGAUACUAGCACCCAACCAAUGGAGAGAAGCCGGGGGGAAGGAAGGCCCCGUGAAAGACCAGAAGUUUCAACUGACCUUGACCCCUGAGAUCUCUCAGACACGGAGUCACCAACCAGGCAGCAUACACUAGCUGAUGUGAGACGCACCCCCCCACACCCUCACACCCUCCCACACCCCCACAUCCCCACACCCCCACACACAUAUACAGCAGACGACUGCCUGGUCUGACUUAAGUGAGAGAAAAUAUACCUAACCCUCAAUUCACUUGAGGCCUCAGGGAGUAGGGAGGCCUGGUGGGGUGGGGACAUCCUCUUGGAGAAGGGGAGCAGGGCGGGAGGAGGGGGGAUGGGAUGGGAUGGGGAGCGGUGGGGGAGGGGUGAAGAGGAGACCGAAAGGGGGAAUGAAGACUGGACUGUAAAAAAAGGGUUAUGGAAUAGUAAAUAAAUAAAUAUUUUAAAAAUUUUAAAAAGGAAAAGGAAAUGAAAUGAGAGAUGUGCUUCAGAAAUCCAGAGAUUCAAUAACAACACGCAGAGGGAGGAAAAGUCUAGUUCUCAACAAACCACAAACAGAAAGGAUCCAGACGAGAACUGUAUACAUGGAAGAAAGACAGUCGUUCGGUAUAUUAUGGCUAAAAGUUAAGAACACUCUAGAAUAAAAGCCUGCCGUAAAGCACUUGGGUUGCUAAACGUCUUAUGUUGUUCGAAGCUUACAUCUGAUUUUUUUUUUUUUUUUUUUUUUUUGGUAAGUGGCUUUCAAGUACCUUUUUUUUUAAAUGAGAUGUCCUGUUCACCUUGGAAUGAACAAUACUGAUCGCUAUCACAAAAGGUUCUUUUGGAGCCCUCGGCUUAUCUGAACAACAAUUCAGGGAAAGUUCAAAGGGAGAAGAGGAAAAUUAUCUCUAGAAUCUGUUAAGGAAGCAUGAGUGUUUCCCAGGACAGCGACUGGCGUCCAGACUUCUCUGUGGUUUGACAUAACACGGCCAAGACGGGUUUUCAAAAGGGGAGAUAUUAUAAGUUCAAAGACAGCAAAGAAAACUAUUUUGUCUUUUUGACUCUGAGAUGGGACUUAGGUAAGCAAAAUGUUGUGGGCAGGGUGAGAACAGAAGGGGACGACAAAUGCACUCGAUCGAUGUGCUUCUCAAACGCCUUAAAGUCCAAGAGAACACUUAGACUAAGCAGACCGAUUACUGUCAUGCCUACCUGGCUUCCUUGGAAGAACUAAUAAAAGCAUAUUUAACACUA